ACACACACAUACACACAUGCAGCCAGCCGCCCCGACCGCUACGGGUGGCUCAUAGACAUUACGAAAUGCUCUUGAACUCGGCUUGAGAUCCUGGAAUAAUUAGGAUUUACCAAAUAAGGAUUCUUAGAAACAACAGAUUUUUUUUUUCUUUUUCCUUUUAAGAAAGGAGAUUUGCUGCAGAUGAUGAUGUGUCUGGGACUUUUGGGGGGAGUCAGGAGGAGAGGAGAGGAAAAGGAAAAACAUUUUAGAAUUCUUCACCGGGAAAAGAGGAGCAGCAUCAAGGGAAACAAUUAUUUUCUCUCCCCAGAGAUGGCAACACUAAAUCCAAAGGCAAAUCCUAAUGAUUCCGAAGCAGGCAGAGCCCACUGGACUUUAAAGACAUUCUCUUGCUGUUCGCAUCCGAGCACAGAUGAUUCCAAUGAAGAGACCCCUCUGGAGUAGAGCCAAUAGUCGGUCCCCACAGCUAUGGUCAUCAGGCUGAAGGCAGCGAAAGCACCAACGGUGGUUAAAAGCAUUUGAACACCUCGAUCAAACAGCCCCAUAAUUCUUCAUUAUAUAAACACCCAACCGACUUCUGGUUCUCGGAAGAGUGUGUCUGAGGGUGCGAGUACUAAAGCCAAAAAAAAAAAAAAAAAAAAAAAAAAAAAAAAAAAAUUAAAAUAGAA
Long non-coding RNA from Cavia porcellus (domestic guinea pig), 665 nucleotides. RefSeq lists it as uncharacterized. The record is from RefSeq and is a predicted model, not a curated record. The transcript is spliced from 2 exons. Lineage: Eukaryota; Metazoa; Chordata; Mammalia; Rodentia; Caviidae.